AUGCCAUCACGGCCACGCGCUCCAGGUUCCGCCGCCGAGAUGGGCGCCCAGGAAAUCCCUGCCCGGGGCGGCUCCCCUGCCCCUCCCGUCACCACCAAGCACGACGCGUCCGGCACUGGCGAAGCCCAAAGCGGCCCCGUCCGCUCCCCGGCCCCGGAAGGAAGCGACCGCCCGGUGGAGGAGGAGAACUCCCCCGCGGAAAUCCCUUGGUACGAUAAAAUUGAGAACAUAGAUGAGGACUACCGCCUGUACUUGAGUUGCAUACGCAUGGUGAAUGGCCACCAGAUGGUGGUCGUGCCGGAGGGCGGGCUGGACGCGAAGCUGGUUCCACGGAAGAAGGGUGGGGAGGAAGCGGCUUCCCGUGCUACUUCAGGGAAGAACGGCUGCGGCUUUGGGAAGAAGGAGGAAGGGAAGGGGAAGGUGGCGGCGAUCGCCACGGGUGGGCCUGCGCUGAAGUCUCCCGUGGGCGAUUCCGCUACGCAUCCGCAAAAGAUUCAGAAGGAGAGGAAGAAUGGAUGGAAAAAUGGUGCUAAGAAGAUGAAGGUGGCGGAGAAAGAAGAGAACCCGUCGGCAGAGCCGCAUCUGGAAACACUCAGCACUGCGUGGGGGAAGGGGAAUGUGGAGCCGAAGCUGCCUAUGGAAACACUGAAUACUAUGAAGAGGAAAAGGAAAUCAAGUGAUGUCCAAAAUGCUGAGUCUCGCACUGCUUCAGGGAAGGGGAAUGUGGAGCCGAAGCUGCCUAUGGAAACACUGAAUACUGUGAAGAGGAAAAGGAAAUCAAGUGAUGUCCAAAAUGCGGAGUCUCGCACUGCUUCGAAAGGGAAGGACAAGGUACCGACGAUCAUCACGGGUGAGUCUGCGCCGAAGUCUCGUGUGCGCGAUUCCACUACACAUCCGCAACAGGGUCAGAAGGAGAAGAAUGGAGGCAAAAAUGGUGCUAAGAUGAUGAAGGUGGUGGAGGAAGCAGAAGGGAUUGCGUUGAAGGAGCUGCCUAUGGAAACACUGAAUAUUGUGAAGAGAAAAAGGAAAUCAAGUGAUGUACAAAAUGCCGAUUCCCACACUGCUUCAACUGACAACAGAAAGCCACAACUUCGGAGAUCUGCUCGACUUAUGCUCAGUCCGCCUGAAAAUGAUCAUAAGUAG
This 1143-nucleotide ribosomal RNA is filed under the name Triticum aestivum (bread wheat). RNAcentral describes it as "partial small subunit ribosomal RNA". Lineage: Eukaryota; Viridiplantae; Streptophyta; Magnoliopsida; Poales; Poaceae. The record is from RNAcentral.